Molecule: ribosomal RNA, 435 nt
Filed under: uncultured bacterium
Lineage: Bacteria
Description: partial 16S ribosomal RNA
Rfam family: Bacterial small subunit ribosomal RNA
Source: RNAcentral
GAUGAACGCUGGCGGUAUGCUUAACACAUGCAAGUCGAACGGACUCUUCGGAGUUAGUGGCGGACGGGUGAGUAACGCGUCAGAAUCUGGCUUUGGGUUCGGGACAACCACUGGAAACGGUGGAUAAUACCGGAUGUGCCCAGAGGUCAAAGAGAAAUUGCAUGAAGAUGAGCUCGCGUCUGAGUAGCUAGUUGGUGAGGUAAAUGCUCACCAAGGCAGCGAUCAGUAGCUGAUCUGAGAUGAUGACCGGCCACACUGGGACUGAGACACGGCCCAGACGCCUCUGGGAGGCAGCGGUGAAGAAUGUUCCGCAAUGGGCGAGUGCGUGACGGAGGAAUACGGAGUGAGAGAAUCAGGUACUAGGGUUGAAAACCUCUGUUCGUAGGGAUGAACGACUUGACGGUACCUAAGCAGACAGCAACGGCUAACUCCGUG